CAAAAGCAUGGUCCCGACUUUUCUGUCAGCUGUAGCUAAAAUUACACAUGCAAGCAUCCGCGCCCCCGUGAGGAUGCCCUCAAAACCCCAUGGUCUAGAGGGGCCGGUAUCAGGCACACAACUGUAGCCCAAGACGCCUUGCUUAGCCACACCCCCAAGGGCACCCAGCAGUGAUUAAUAUUAAACAUAAGCGAAAGCUUGAUUUAGUUAUAGCUAAGAGAGCCGGUUAAACUCGUGCCAGCCGCCGCGGUUAUACGAGAGGCCCUAGUUGACAUCAUCGGCGUAAAGCGUGAUUACAGGAUAUUAAAACUAAAGCCAAAAAAUCUCAAGGCUGUUAUACGUACAUAUUGAGACUAAUAGGCUCUUAAACGAAAGUAGCUUUAAACAAACACUUGGACUUCACGACAGCUGGGAAACAAACUGGGAUUAGAUACCCCACUAUGCCCAGUCGUAAACUUUGAUGGUAACAUACCUAUACCAUUCGCCAGGGGACUACGAGCGCAUUGCUUAAAACCCAACGGACCUGGCGGUGCCCCGCACUCCACCUAGAGGAGCCUGUUCUAUAACCGAUACUACCCGUUAAACCUCACCGCUUCUGGCUAUGCAGUCUAUAUACCGCCGUCGCAAGCUCGCCCCAUGAGGGAAAAACAGCAAGCAAAAUGGGUACAACCCAAAACGUCAGGUCGAGGUGUAGCAUAUGAAGCGGGAAGAGAUGGGCUACAUUUUCUGAAAAACAGAAUAUACGAAUUUAACUGUGAAACACAUUAUUUGAAGGAGGAUUUAGCAGUAAAAAGAAAUCAGAGCAUUCUUUUGAAGCCGGCUCCGGGGCGCGUACACACCGCCCGUCACUCUCUGCUAAACUUCCAAAACGCAACAAUAAUAAAUAAACAAAAUGCCACCAGCUCAGCGGAGACAAGUCGUAACACGGUAAGUGUACCGGAAGGUGCACUUGGAUCAAC
Molecule: non-coding RNA, 959 nt
Filed under: Scleropages jardinii (Australian bonytongue)
Lineage: Eukaryota; Metazoa; Chordata; Actinopteri; Osteoglossiformes; Osteoglossidae
Description: 12S ribosomal RNA
Rfam family: Bacterial small subunit ribosomal RNA
Source: RNAcentral